GGGAGGGGAGGGAAAUGGUCAGGAAGGCUUCUCUUGGGACAUGACCUCUAAGCAGACCCUAUAUGCUGAGAAAGAGCUGGAAGAUCAGGGGAAGAAGAAGCCAAAUGUACCAGGAGGCCCUGAGAUGGGAGUGGGCUUGGUCAGUGUUAGGAAAGGCUGCCAUUUAUUGUUCAAUAACUACUUGCCAGGCAGUGUGCCUAGUUCUUAAAUGCAGUAUCUAAUUGAUCCUAUGAGCUCAGUGAUAACACUAUCCCUUCCAAUUACUCAAGAGGUAGGAGCUACUCUAAUUCAUUCCUGUCUUAAGAAUGAAGAAGCUGAGAGGCAGAAAAGAUAAAUAAUUUGCCCAUAGGUAUCCCAGGCCAAGUAAAUGAGGGGCCCAGCAUUUCAUGGGAGUCACCGUACCCCAAAGCUUUCGUUCUCUAGUGAUCAUUGCUCACACUGCCUCCUGCUGCCCCGGUCUCUCAUUCUGAUUAAACCUCACCUCUGGCCUUCACUACCACUCACCUCCAAGGGGCACCCCUUCCCUGUCAGAGCCCCUCUGACCUGCCUCUGGCCUGUCCCCCUGCUUCACCCUUAGCUUCCAUUCAGUUCUGUGUUAGUGUCUCACCUCUGUUCCUUCCCAGCUGCUGUUUCACCUGUUCCCAAAGCCCACAGCCUGGUUUCUACCACCCUGUCCACACACCUUUUCCAGAAGAAUUGUCCUUACAUAUGACUUCAUCAUCACCCUCGAGUUAAACCCCCAGUGAGUUCUGAUGCUCUCAGUUUCAAAGGAGAUCAAGUAUUUUAAACCUUAUCAAUGACACUGAGAAUAAUGUCCCCUUACAUUGGAGGAGGAUGUUGAAGUGGGCAAGACGUUCACUGUUAAUGUGUCCCU
RNAcentral lists this long non-coding RNA (874 nucleotides) under Homo sapiens (human). Its description in RNAcentral is "HSALNT0172820". The record is from RNAcentral. Lineage: Eukaryota; Metazoa; Chordata; Mammalia; Primates; Hominidae.